AGAUUAGCUCAGUUGGUUAGAGCAUGGUGCUUAUAAUGCCAAGGUCAUGGAUUUGAUCCCUGUGGGGUCUA
This is a non-coding RNA of Lamprotornis superbus, 71 nucleotides long. The record is from the annotation of a GenBank genome assembly. NCBI's taxonomy places the organism in Eukaryota, Metazoa, Chordata, Aves, Passeriformes, Sturnidae.